Molecule: ribosomal RNA, 497 nt
Filed under: uncultured bacterium
Lineage: Bacteria
Description: partial 16S ribosomal RNA
Rfam family: Bacterial small subunit ribosomal RNA
Source: RNAcentral
GAUGAACGCUGGCGGCGUGCCUAAUACAUGCAAGUCGAGCGAACAGACGAGGAGCUUGCUCCUCUGACGUUAGCGGCGGACGGGUGAGUAACACGUGGAUAACCUACCUAUAAGACUGGGAUAACUUCGGGAAACCGGAGCUAAUACCGGAUAAUAUAUUGAACCGCAUGGUUCAAUAGUGAAAGACGGUUUUGCUGUCACUUAUAGAUGGAUCCGCGCCGCAUUAGCUAGUUGGUAAGGUACCGGCUUACCAAGGCGCCGAUGCGUAGCCGACCUGAGAGGGUGAUCGGCCACACUGGAACUGAGACACGGUCCAGACUCCUACGGGAGGCAGCAGUAGGGAAUCUUCCGCAAUGGGCGAAAGCCUGACGGAGCAACGCCGCGUGAGUGAUGAAGGUCUUCGGAUCGUAAAACUCUGUUAUUAGGGAAGAACAAAUGUGUAAGUAACUAUGCACGUCUUGACGGUACCUAAUCAGAAAGCCACGGCUAACUACGUG